AUUGAACGCUGGCGGCAGGCCUAACACAUGCAAGUCGAGCGGAUGAAGGGAGCUUGCUCCUGGAUUCAGCGGCGGACGGGUGAGUAAUGCCUAGGAAUCUGCCUGGUAGUGGGGGAUAACGUCCGGAAACGGGCGCUAAUACCGCAUACGUCCUGAGGCAGAAAGUGGGGGAUCUUCGGACCUCACGCUCUCAGAUGAGCCUAGGUCGGAUUAGCUAGUUUGUGGGGUAAAGGCCUACCAAGGCGACGAUCCGUAACUGGUCUGAGAGGAUGAUCAGUCACACUGGAACUGAGACACGGUCCAGACUCCUACGGGAGGCAGCAGUGGGGAAUAUUGGACAAUGGGCGAAAGCCUGAUCCAGCCAUGCCGCGUGUGUGAAGAAGGUCUUCGGAUUGUAAAGCACUUUAAGUUGGGAGGAAGGGCAGUAAGUUAAUACCUUGCUGUUGUGACGUUACCAACAGAAUAAGCACCGGCUAACUUCGUG
This 484-nucleotide ribosomal RNA is filed under the name uncultured bacterium. RNAcentral describes it as "partial 16S ribosomal RNA". It matches the Rfam family "Bacterial small subunit ribosomal RNA", at positions 30 to 507 of the family's 1533-position model. The record is from RNAcentral.